UACGUAGGCAGCAAGCGUUGUUCGGAGUUACUGGGCGUAAAGGGUGCGUAGGCGGCUUUUUAAGUUUGGUGUGAAAUCUCCCGGCUCAACUGGGAGGGUGCGCCGAAUACUGAGAGGCUAGAGUGUGGGAGAGGAAAGUGGAAUUCCGUGGUGUAGCGGUGAAAUGCGUAGAUAUCAGGAGGAACACCGGUGGUGUAAACGGCUUUCUGGACCAUAACUGACGCUGGAGGCACGAAAGCGUGGGGAGCAAACAGG
Molecule: ribosomal RNA, 255 nt
Filed under: uncultured bacterium
Lineage: Bacteria
Description: partial 16S ribosomal RNA
Rfam family: Bacterial small subunit ribosomal RNA
Source: RNAcentral